This 400-nucleotide ribosomal RNA is filed under the name Enterococcus italicus. RNAcentral describes it as "bacterial SSU rRNA". It matches the Rfam family "Bacterial small subunit ribosomal RNA", at positions 67 to 455 of the family's 1533-position model. Lineage: Bacteria; Bacillati; Bacillota; Bacilli; Lactobacillales; Enterococcaceae. The record is from RNAcentral.
UUUUUAUCGAACUUCGGUUCACCAAGAAAGAGGAGUAGCGAACGGGUGAGUAACACGUGGGUAACCUGCCCAUCAGCGGGGGAUAACACUUGGAAACAGGUGCUAAUACCGCAUAAUGCUUUUUCUCACAUGAGAGAAAGCUGAAAGGCGCUUUUGCGUCACUGAUGGAUGGACCCGCGGUGCAUUAGCUAGUUGGUAGGGUAACGGCCUACCAAGGCAACGAUGCAUAGCCGACCUGAGAGGGUGAUCGGCCACACUGGGACUGAGACACGGCCCAGACUCCUACGGGAGGCAGCAGUAGGGAAUCUUCGGCAAUGGACGAAAGUCUGACCGAGCAACGCCGCGUGAGUGAAGAAGGUUUUCGGAUCGUAAAAACUCUGUUGUUAGAGAAGAACAAAGG